This is a non-coding RNA of Pantoea wallisii, 90 nucleotides long. The record is from Rfam. Lineage: Bacteria; Pseudomonadati; Pseudomonadota; Gammaproteobacteria; Enterobacterales; Erwiniaceae.
CGUAUGAUGCUGCUGCCAGCCCGCGUCCCGUCAGGCCCGAUGCGUGCGGCCUGUGUCUUAUACACAGCGCAAAACUCUUCACCGGAUUUU